This 31-nucleotide non-coding RNA is filed under the name Rattus norvegicus (Norway rat). The record is from RNAcentral. Lineage: Eukaryota; Metazoa; Chordata; Mammalia; Rodentia; Muridae.
UUCCAAUGUUGACAAUGGCCGUACUGUGGGC